CUGCUGCCUUCCGUAGGAGUCUGGUCCGUGUCUCAGUACCAGUGUGGGGGACCUUCCUCUCAGAACCCCUACGCAUCGUCGCCACGGUGGGCCGUUACCCCGCCGUCUAGCUAAUGCGCCGCAUGCCCAUCCUCUUCCGAUGAAUCUUUCCUCGAUCUCGGAUGCCCGAAACCGAUAUACGCGGGAUUAGCCUCCCUUUCGGAAGGUUGUCCCCCUGAAGAGGGCAGGUUGCAUACGUGUUACUCACCCGUCGCGCCGGUCGCCGG
This 266-nucleotide ribosomal RNA is filed under the name uncultured bacterium. Its description in RNAcentral is "partial 16S ribosomal RNA". The record is from RNAcentral.